This 914-nucleotide ribosomal RNA is filed under the name Gibellula sp. Its description in RNAcentral is "partial large subunit ribosomal RNA". It matches the Rfam family "Eukaryotic large subunit ribosomal RNA", at positions 36 to 965 of the family's 3401-position model. The record is from RNAcentral. Lineage: Eukaryota; Fungi; Ascomycota; Sordariomycetes; Hypocreales; Cordycipitaceae.
AAGCAUAUCAAUAAGCGGAGGAAAAGAAACCAACAGGGAUUGCCCCAGUAACGGCGAGUGAAGCGGCAGCAGCUCAGAUUUGAAAUCGGGCGCCCCGUCGCGGGCGCCCGAGUUGUAGCCUGCAGAGGAUGCCCUGGGCGCGGCGGCCUUCCGAGUUCCCUGGAACGGGACGCCGCAGAGGGUGAGAGCCCCGUCCGGUCGGACGCCAGGCCCGUGUAGGGCUCCUUCGACGAGUCGAGUAGUUUGGGAAUGCUGCUCAAAACGGGAGGUAAAUGUCUUCCAAAGCUAAAUACCGGCCAGAGACCGAUAGCGCACAAGUAGAGUGAUCGAAAGAUGAAAAGCACUUUGGAAAGAGGGUUAAAGAGCACGUGAAAUUGCUGAAAGGGAAGCGCCCGCGACCAGACUUGGGCCCGGCAGGUCACCCGUCGUUCUCGGCGGGGCACCCUGCCGGGCGCAGGCCAGCAUCGGCUCGGCGCGGGGGACAAAGGCGGCGGGAACGUGGCUCCCUCCGGGGAGAGCUUACAGCCCGCCGCGCCAUGCCCUGCGCCGGGCCGAGGCACGCGCACCGCAAGGAUGCUGGCGUAAUGGUCGCCGGCGACCCGUCUUGAAACACGGACCAAGGAGUCGUCCUCGUAUGCGAGUGUUGGGGUGCCAAACCCCUGCGCGCAGUGAAAGCGAACGCAGGUGAGAGCCGGCAAGCGGCGCAUCAUCGACCGAUCCUGAUGUUCUCGGACGGAUUUGAGUAGGAGCAUACGGGGCCGGACCCGAAAGAAGGUGAACUAUGCCUGCGUAGGGUGAAGCCAUGGGAAACCAUGGUGGAGGCUCGCAGCGGUUCUGACGUGCGAAUCGAUCGUCAAACGUGGGCAUGGGGGCGAAAGACUAAUCGAACCUUCUAGUAGCUGGUUUCCGCCGAU